Neogale vison (American mink) is the source of this 3082-nucleotide long non-coding RNA. RefSeq lists it as uncharacterized. The record is from RefSeq and is a predicted model, not a curated record. The transcript has 9 exons. NCBI's taxonomy places the organism in Eukaryota, Metazoa, Chordata, Mammalia, Carnivora, Mustelidae.
AAGGACCUUGUCUGAACAUAAUGAUUUCAAAACUUGAGCUUAAAUGACACUCUGAAAUCUAGUCAAUGUGCCUCAGUAGACUUUUCAUAGAACAUUAUUUUCAACAGAUAAAUUUUGACUUAUUGUGGAACUUUGAAUACUUAGAAAUGUCAGGUGUAAAUUGGCAGUAUACAUUGCCAUCUCUUCAGACAUCUUUUUUUAAGUUUUCAUAAGAUAUUCUGAGCUCAUUAUUUUUCCCUUCUUUUUAAACAUGCAUGCUGUUGAAAGCAAAAAAGGAAACUCAUCCUUAGAUCCCAGAAGGUACACACACAUGCUGAGAUGGAAGCAAGGACAUGUAAAAGGGAGACGGCCACCUCUUCGAUAAAACAUAGAAUGCCAGAAUUAGUGAUGUCCAGGAAAGAGGGGAACUCAUAUUUGUGGAACAUGUAUUAUAAAAUGCAGUGAGUAUGGGGUGAGAGGAUCUCUCCUGCUUAAUUGAGAUGAUGAAGGACCAAUAAGAGAGCAGUUUUUGAAAUCCAGUUCCAAGGAUAUAUUUGUUUUAGAUGUGAAUGCUGAUUAAUGACUUCAGGUGUUAAAUGCAGCAAGUCCAUCUAUGCCAAAAUGGCCAUUAUGAAUAGUUUGUGAGUGAUCAUGAAGAACGUGUGAUUUAGAGACUAGUACAGCAGAGUUUUACACACUGAAACAGUAUUGUGGGAUACACGAAAAGAAUAUGGGAGAAGAUGGGAUAUGAGAAGUACAUGAUGAAAAGAAGAGAUUUAUAGAUAACCUGAGGACAACUGACACCAGGAAUAUCCCUCAUGCUAUGGACUUCUUUAAUGUAAAAGUUUUAACUGGGAACAAUAGGAGGUGAUCGUUUCAUGAAAACACACUUCCGCCCUCCUGGUUUGAAAAUUCCAAGAAUUGGUAUCAUGAGACCUCUCACUGGCAGUAUUAUUCAUUCAGCGUUUCUUCAUCUCUGAUCUCUGUUUCCACGAAUACCCCUUGGAGAAAUUACUGUGGUGACUAAACAGAAAAACUGAUGCUAUUGCUUCUGCCACCAUCUUCAAAUCCAAAAAACAGUCUUAAUAAUGUAUGGAGACUUCUGUUUCAUGUGUUGGAGUGGAUACUCCUCUCAGAUCAGAAAAAAUGGACUGAGAAAACUCAAGUUUGAAAAUUACUAGAGUGUCAUUGGAGGGAAUUGUAACCAGGCAUGUUGACUGUUUUCAUAAUUGACAUUGGACUAAAUCUCAGGAACUUGAAUGGUGGAGAUGUUAUUACCCAGAGAGGUUCAGUAUGGUGUGAUUGUAAGGCAUCAUUUCAGUAUUCCCAUUAGAAUAAAGUGCACGUAUUUAUAAUUUUCACUUAUUACAGGGUAAAUUUAAAAUUGAUGGACAAAAAAUUACCCUUUUCCAGAUUUCAGAAGGCACAGAAAUUUAUCAAGGAUAGUAUUUUUACUUCUUAAAUGCUUUUUUCCCCUCCUAAUUCUACUUUCCAAGAUUAUCUACAGUUAAUGGAGUUUUGUGUUUAUACUCUUCAGGUAUAUUGAUAAACACAAUUUAUGCUAGUUGUCUUUUGGACCAAUAUAUUAGCUACAAAUUUUCUAGGCAGUUAAUAUGCUUUAUUUAGAAAAGAUUUUUAACUUCUCUGGCUAAUUUGUUGAAAAUAGAGUAUUUCCACCUUCUCAGAAUUAAGUAUAUGCAAAAUUUACAUUCUGAGUCAAAAGUAAAAAUUUUCCUCAAAUGGUAUAGAUUGUCCUCAUCAAUUUUUCUCCCAGUAUUUGUUUAUGAGAUUUCUGUUUUCUUAAAUAGUACAAACAUUACAUUUCGGAGUUUUAAUCUUUGACAAUGUGGUGUUACAAAAAACUGCUUUUAUUCUCUUACUGUUCAGUUCAGUCAUCUUCAUAUAUCCUUAAAACUUACUAGUCACUUGUUUUUUCAUUUUCCUCUGUUAUUUUUUUUUAAAUUUCCCUCAGAAUAUUAGUGCUUUUGUAAUGGUUUCUAAGAUCAUUUGUGACUAAGUAUGUUAGUAUGUUAACCAUUUGUCAUGCAUUGCAAAUUUCAUACUGUAUGUUCUCAUCACCAUUUUACUGUGAUGUUUUGCUGUACAAAAGUUGUGUUUUCAAAUAUAAUGCUCUGCUUUAUGCCUUUUGAGUUUUGUGUUUUUAUUCAGAUAUGUGUCCAUCACUCUCAUGCAUUCUUUGUAUUCUGUUUUUUGUCAGUCUGUCAUUUCAUUUUUUCUGUUAAUUGUUACUGUGGUUUUAAACCAUUACCCAGUCAAAUUAUUUACCUUGAUUUAAGCAGUUAUCACUUAGCUAAAUGCUACCAUAGUUAUUUAGAAAUUCCCACAUAGAAUCAUCUGCAUCUCUAUUUGUUUGCCUUACUAUCUUUUGAUACUUUAAAGUUACUGAUGAUUUUGUCUAUUCCAUUGAGAUCUAUCUCAUUUCUCUUUUUUUCCAGAAUAUUCCCUGUCUAUAGUCGCAUUUUUUUCUCUCAAUUGAUGCUUAAAAUUUUUUUUACAAGUUGGAAAAAAAAUGCAAUUUUAAUUUCAUUUGCACCAAAAUUAAUAGAUUAAUUAGGAGAGAAUAGAUGUCUUUAAAAGUGAGUCUUCCUAUCAGUCUGCAAGUUUUAACUGAGGUGUUACCAGCUUAAGAACUGAGACAUUUUAGAUUCUUCAAUAUCUGACAUUUCUAUAUCAAUCCAAAUUCUUGUACUUAUUUCUCAUUUCUGUGGACUUCGUUCUUCAAAAGUACUGCAUGUUUCAUAAGCAAGGAUCAAAGAAACUGUCUACAGGUGUUGAACAUAUGUACAAGAGGACGAUCAGUACCUUCUGCAGUGGUACCAUGCACAGCAUCACCUAUUUCCUGUCAUUAUUUCCACUUUUGGAAGCUCAUUGAAUCUUUAUAUCUCAAAAGGCACAAGUUUUAUAUAUGUACCACCAGGAAUAGAAGUGAUCUUCUUUUUGGCAAGUAAUUGCCCAGAAUGUUAAGUACUUUUUUGUUCUCUGAAUAUAUCUUACGCUUUCCUCUAAUAUUGUUUACCUCAUUGAUUUUUUCCCCCCUCUAUGUUUUCCGUUAGAAGCGGGAAUAAGAUUUGUGUGUGGUAAA